AUGAGAGAACUCUAUACUUUCAGUCGAUGAGCUUCUUUUUCAAUUUCUCAAGAAUGAAAUUUCAAUCACGUGCCUUCAGAAGUGUAUGGUGAAGAGGGAUAUCUAAAUAGUUGGUCGCCAACUGAGCAGUCGAAUAUCCCAACAUCUUCGCAAAUGCUUCUAUUAUCUCCAUUAACAAGUCUAAAUCAAUAACACUAGUUUUGCUGAAAUUUAUUUUCAAUCCGAUAAGAAGCUCAAACGUGUAUAGGAUGAUUUGAGGGUGUU
This 264-nucleotide long non-coding RNA is filed under the name Elaeis guineensis (African oil palm). RNAcentral describes it as "long non-coding RNA (EGUI_LNC000125)". Lineage: Eukaryota; Viridiplantae; Streptophyta; Magnoliopsida; Arecales; Arecaceae. The record is from RNAcentral.